Molecule: ribosomal RNA, 596 nt
Filed under: uncultured Verrucomicrobiota bacterium
Lineage: Bacteria; Pseudomonadati; Verrucomicrobiota
Description: bacterial SSU rRNA
Rfam family: Bacterial small subunit ribosomal RNA
Source: RNAcentral
GGCGGCGUGGAUAAGACAUGCAAGUCGAACGGGAACUUUUUUGGUAGCAAUACUAGAAAAGUUCUAGUGGCGAACGGGUGCGUAACACGUGGGCAAUCUGCCUUAAAGUGGGGGAUAGCUCGGCGAAAGCCGAAUUAAUACCGCAUGUGAUGAGAGACGACAUCGUCUUGAAAUCAAAGCCGGGGCAACCUGGCGCUUUUUGAGGAGCCCGCGGCCUAUCAGCUUGUUGGUGAGGUAACGGCUCACCAAGGCUUUGACGGGUAGCUGGUCUGAGAGGACGACCAGUCACACUGGAACUGAGACACGGUCCAGACACCUACGGGUGGCAGCAGUCGAGAAUUUUUCUCAAUGGGGGAAACCCUGAAGGAGCGACGCCGCGUGGAGGAUGAAGGUCUUCGGGUUGUAAACUCCUGUCAUUUGAGAACAAGGUGCGCGUAUUAACUGUACGCGUAUUGAUAGUAUCAGAAGAAGAAGGGACGGCUAACUCUGUGCCAGCAGCCGCGGUAAUACAGAGGUCCCAAGCGUUGUUCGGAUUCAUUGGGCGUAAAGGGUGCGUAGGUGGCGCCGUAAGUCGGGUGUGAAAUUUCGAGGCUUAA